Molecule: transfer RNA, 77 nt
Filed under: Flavobacterium sp.
Lineage: Bacteria; Pseudomonadati; Bacteroidota; Flavobacteriia; Flavobacteriales; Flavobacteriaceae
Also listed under: 7 other names
Description: tRNA-Ala
Rfam family: tRNA
About the family: Transfer RNA (tRNA) molecules are approximately 80 nucleotides in length.
Source: RNAcentral
GGGGAUGUAGCUCAGUUGGCUAGAGUGCUUGACUGGCAGUCAAGAGGUCGUGGGUUCGAGCCCCAUCUUCUCCACUA